Molecule: ribosomal RNA, 450 nt
Filed under: uncultured bacterium
Lineage: Bacteria
Description: partial 16S ribosomal RNA
Rfam family: Bacterial small subunit ribosomal RNA
Source: RNAcentral
CCUACGGGGGGCUGCAGUCGAGAAUCUUCGGCAAUGGGCGCAAGCCUGACCGAGCGACGCCGCGUGCGGGAUGAAGGCCUUCGGGUUGUAAACCGCUGUCGAGGGGAAUGAAGUGCAGGUGGGUUCUCCCAUCUGUUUGACAGAUCCCUGGAGGAAGCAUGGGCUAAGUUCGUGCCAGCAGCCGCGGUAAGACGAACCAUGCAAACGUUAGUCGUUUACACUGGGCUUAAAGCGUUUGUUGGUCAGGUGGGAAAGCCCUCAGCCCAACUGAGGAAUUGCGCUUGAUACUGCAUGACUAGAGAAUGAUAGAGGUGGGUGGAACUGAUGGUGGAGCGGUGAAAUGCGUUGAUAUCAUCAGGAACACCAGUGGCGAAGGCGACCCACUGGGUCAUUUCUGACGCUGAGGUACGAAAGCUAGGGUAGCGAACGGGAUUAGAUACCCCAGUAGUC